RNAcentral lists this long non-coding RNA (1557 nucleotides) under Paramuricea clavata. The record is from RNAcentral. Lineage: Eukaryota; Metazoa; Cnidaria; Anthozoa; Malacalcyonacea; Plexauridae.
CAGUUGCAUUUUUAUUGAACUAACUGUUAAAAUUAUAAUAUAUAAAACUCUAUCAAAGAUACAAACUUUUUGCAUUUGAAAAUUAUUACAGACUUAAGACUUUGAUAAACAUUAAACAUUUUUGGUGGUCAAGACUAAGAACCUCCACAUGGUGAGUCAUUGGUGACCACUUGGGCAACAGCAUGUUGUGUGAACACGGCGCGGAUUAGCAUACCAGGACCCCUAUAUUGUUUAACUGGACAACAUUUUAUUUUACAUAUUAUUUGUACAAUGUCAUAUGUUGGUCUGUUAAAGUGUUAAUCUACCCCUGUGUGAUUGCAAACUUUUGCACAACCUUUUGGCUAAUCUCAGCACUUUACACAAAAUAUGGCUUUGUCAAAUCAUAUCUAUGGGACCCUAAAAUAGUUUAUUGCCCUGGCCUACCCCAAGUCUUUGGGUGGCCCAAUCAAUUAGUUAACCCCCACCAAUACUACAGUCCCAAUAGACAUGGUUUUUACAUUGUUUCAAUGCUCAUGGUAUUCAAACAGGCCUAGUUGAAAUAAUGAUGUAUUUAUUCCCCAUAUCACAAGCCCCCAUGAGAAUUGCAUGAAAUAUUAUUGCUGAGAUUAGCCAGCAUGUCGUGAAACAAACAGGGGUAGAUUUUUUACUUUGCAGCUGCAAAGGGCUCUCUUUUUGACAAAGUACAAUUAAAGUAGCCUACUAAUCCACCCCUAAUUUACACAACAUGCUGUUGCCCAGUGGUCACCAUGAGGAGGUUCUCAGACUUGACCACCAAAUUUUCAAAUGUUGAAAGAAUGUGUUUCUGUCUCUUGGUGAAAACAUAAUGUCGUAAAAUACUUUACUUCAAUCAAAAGGUAUAUAGUAUGAAGGCAAAGGUUUACUAGUGCAGAGCAAACUUUAAUCAUUAUGUCAAUGAGAGGAACAGACUCUCCUUUUCUGCAAAUAAGGUAAUCAGUUCAUUCAGUCGGCAAAGUUUGUUGAAGAAUGGUAUAUUUCGGUCUCAGUAAACCAAUAAUUCUUUCGACAUGUAUCCGGACAGUAGCAAUCUUUCUUGUCUGUUCCACAUCAACAGAAUCAAGUUGGUCUUUUCCUUUUGUGAAUGCUGGAAUGUUCAAUUUGGCUUGGUGAAACUGAACACUUUCAUGAACAGUGAAACGCCUAUCCGCCAGAUCCAAAUCACCUGGUAUAAGGUUGUCCAGUAAGCCACAGUUCUCAGUCAGAAACGUAUCUGAAUUCCUCCCUCCCCAAGCUUCACUGACAAAGCAAAAUGUACCUUGUGUUGUAAUUCUAAUUAACACUUUAACAGUGUUAUGAUGCUUGUAGCUUGAAAACGUCUGUGCCCUUGCAAGGAGAUUAGUUUGUCUAUCAAUAAAAGUCAGCAGAACAUAUGGUUUACCCAGAAAUUAGAACUCGGAUUGAAGCAUAGAAUUAUGACACUCUCUUGUCUGAAUGCCAACUGUUGUGGAUUUGUGGUUGAAACGUCUGUUUGUGUUAUGGGUUUAUGGCCGGCGUUUCUCAAGUUUUCUGGAAAAUUGUCUGCGAUUUGCCGAUAUCGUC